This 119-nucleotide ribosomal RNA is filed under the name Pteropus alecto (black flying fox). The record is from RNAcentral. Lineage: Eukaryota; Metazoa; Chordata; Mammalia; Chiroptera; Pteropodidae. RNAcentral also lists the same sequence under 1 other name.
GUCUACAGCCAUGCCACCCUGAAUGUGCCUGAUCUCCUCUGAUCUCAGAAGCUAACCAGAGUGGGGCCUGGUUAGUACUUGGAUGGGAGACCACCUAGGAAGACCAGGUGCUGUAGGCG